RNAcentral lists this small nuclear RNA (23 nucleotides) under Arabidopsis thaliana (thale cress). Its description in RNAcentral is "snRNA_07782". Lineage: Eukaryota; Viridiplantae; Streptophyta; Magnoliopsida; Brassicales; Brassicaceae. The record is from RNAcentral.
UUAACAUUUCAUUUUGUUAAUCU